RNAcentral lists this ribosomal RNA (253 nucleotides) under uncultured bacterium. RNAcentral's name for it is "partial 16S ribosomal RNA". It matches the Rfam family "Bacterial small subunit ribosomal RNA", at positions 524 to 776 of the family's 1533-position model. The record is from RNAcentral.
UACGUAGGGUGCAAGCGUUAAUCGGAAUUACUGGGCGUAAAGCGUGCGCAGGCGGCUUUGCAAGACAGAUGUGAAAUCUCCGGGCUUAACUUGGGAAUUGCGCUCGAAACUACGUGGCUCGAGUGUGGCAGAGGAAGGUGGAAUUCCACGUGUAGCGGUGAAAUGCGUAGAGAUGUGGAGGAACACCGAUGGCGAAGGCAGCCUUCUGGGCCAACACUGACGCUCAUGCACGAAAGCGUGGGGAGCAAACAGG